RNAcentral lists this long non-coding RNA (2146 nucleotides) under Paramuricea clavata. The record is from RNAcentral. Lineage: Eukaryota; Metazoa; Cnidaria; Anthozoa; Malacalcyonacea; Plexauridae.
GGCGUCGAGUUAAGCGGAGUAAAGUCGCUUUCUUGCUCGAAUUUUAAGGCAAAAUUAAAGAAGAAAUGUUGAAUUCUCUACUCCAAGUGAAACUGAAAGGUAUGUAGCUUUCUAUUCAAUGUAAAAUGUUUGUAUUUUGACGAGGAAAAGUGUUUGAAACUACUUGUUGAAUUUGACGAACGCAAGUCGCUUUGGCGUGAAGCCGCCAUAAGACUUCUUGGCUGCCUAAAGACACAAAAUUUAGCCUUGCUUUUCGUUCCCUUUCGUCUAAGCAGGUAUUGAAAUGUGUUGAUGAAGUAUUCAGGGUGUUUUGUAGCUAAAUUUGUUGUAAAUUUUAUCGUUUUAGUGAGAAUUCUCAACCUCGUGCAACGAGCCGUGUCGAGUGAAGACUGAAGUCGCUUCUCGCCGGCUGAAUUCUAAAGCGAAAUUAAACGAGAAACGUUGAAGUCUCGUCCUCUAGCAAAACUAAAAGACUUAACUGAGGUAUGCCGCUUUCUUCGUUUUUUAGAAUGUUCAUAUUCGGGCGAGUAAAAGUGUUCAAAAUUUAUACAGCAAGUCGGUUCGCCGGCGUAAUCUCGUUCGACUACAUGAAGACACUGAUUUAGCUUUGCAUUUCGUUCUAUUCAGUUUUAUAAAAUUGGUAUUAUGGUUUGAUAACUACUCAAAGUGUUUUAGAGCUAAAUUUGUUUUAAUAUUUGUCGUUUUAGUGAAAAGAUAUGUUGACCACGUACAAAGUCAAAGAACCUCGUGCAACGAGCCGUGCCAAGUGAAGUCGCUUUCUUGCUGAAGUUGCUGGCUGAACUUUAAAGCGAAAUUAAACAAGAAACGCCGAAGUCUCGAUCGUCUUAAGACUUAACUGAGGUAUGCACUUUCUUUGUUUUUCAGAAUGUUCAUAUUCGGGCGAAUAAAAGUGUUUAACAUUGAUACGACUACAUGAAGACACUGAAUCAGUUAGCUUUGCGUUUCGUUCUAUUCAGUUUAAAUUGGUAUUAAGAUGGUUUGAUAAUUACUCAGAGUGUUUUAGAGCUAAAUUUGUUUUAAUAUUUGUCGUUUUAGUGAAAAGAAAUGUUGAACACGUGCACAGAACCUCGUCCAAAGGGUUGACCACGUGCCACUAGAACCUCGUGCAAAGAGUCGAGUCAAGUCAAGUCACUCAACUUCGAAUUUAAAAGCGAACUUGAACGAGGAAUGUUCACGUCUCAACCUCAAGCGCAACGCAAGACUGGAUUUUGAUGUAUGUUGCUUCAAUUCUAUGUAAAAUGUUCACAUUUCAUUGCCGUAAAAGUAUUUGAAUUUACUUGAAUAAAUUGACGAACGCGUGUUGAUUCGCUGACAUACUGUCGCAUUCGACUUCUGGGCGGGUCCCGGCAUAAAAAUUAAAGACCUAAGGGGUUAUAAGUUUACGUUUGGUGAUAUAAGAUUAUUGUUGCAUGCACGUGCGCGAAAUUACUGCAAUAAAAUUCAAGUCUCGUACCCCGCGAUGCGUUUUCUAUUGUCUUUAAUAUCUUUCUUUCUAAUUUAAUUCUAGGUUGAAUUGAUGAAGAUGACAAUGUGCGUCGCUGAAAAACCCAUUAUACCCCACACUGCGGUAGGGCAGUAAAGCUUUUUUUGAACCAAUUUUUAUUUUGAUUGCCCGUACUUUUUGUUUUAUUUUCAUGCAUAUAUCAUGAUGACGCCCAACUAGUCCACUGCUUGCCUUCUGAACAUUCUUAGACUCUGUUUGCAUGGUACCAUUUUACCACCGAGAAUUAUGUUGAGAUUUAUAUGGCAAAGUAGAAGCCUAACUAUAUGGUUUAUGGCUUUUGAGUUUGUAUUUAUAAAUGUAUUACGCUUCAUUGAAAAUGUAGGAAGCAAUCUGAUAGAAUGUGAGCCCAACUAUAUGUUCAUGGCUCCCGAGUAUACCUGCAUAUAUUAUUAUGCUUCAUUAAAAGUUGUAGGAAACUACUAUGUAUGGAGUUCAGAUCCCAAUGCUUUCUAUAUGCAUAAAAGUAGGUACGCACUGCGUACAUAGGAAGCAAUUAUAGAAUGCGAGUCCAACGAUAUGUUAAUGACUCUCGAGUUUAUACCUGUAUAUAUUAUUACGAUUCAUUAAAAGUUGUAGGAAAUUGUUAUAUAUGGAGUUCAUAGCCCGCGCUUCUAUAUGCAU